GUUUAGAGACACUGAAAGAGAGAAAGGUAAACACAAACCAAACUAAACGCCAUAGCAAGGAACGAGUGAGUGAGGGUUCUCCUAGGAUAAUUUUUUUCUUCUUUUUUUUUUCAAUUAUUAUUAUUUGCUUCUGUUAAUUUCCCCAGUAAUUAUUUAUUCUCCUUUUUUCACGCCGUGUGUGUUUGUUACCGAUUGAAAAUCUUUGGAGAGUGACUUCAGAGAGGAAGUGUCUAGAAGGUGGUCUUAUGAGCAUUCAUUCUUCUACUUCAACCUAAGCAACACAACACAACACAACACAGUGUGAAAGAGAGAGAAAUGGGUAGAGGAAGAUGCUUCUUGGACAUUAGCAUAGGGGAAGAGCUUGAAGGGAGAAUAGUGGUGGAGCUUUAUGAUGAUGUUGUUCCCAAAACUGCUGAGAAUUUCAGAGCCCUAUGCACUGGUGAGAAAGGCAUUGGUUCAAAUACUGGAGUGCCCCUUCAUUUCAAGGGAUCUUGCUUUCAUCGUGUUAUUAAAGGCUUCAUGAUUCAAGGAGGUGAUAUAUCUGCUGGGGAUGGUACUGGAGGAGAAUCUAUAUAUGGACUUAAGUUUGAAGAUGAAAAUUUCGAGUUGAAGCAUGAAAGGAAAGGGAUGUUAUCAAUGGCAAACUCUGGUCCUGAUACUAAUGGGUCUCAGUUUUUUAUCAGCACUACCCGAACAUCUCACCUAGAUGGUAAGCAUGUUGUAUUUGGGAAAGUAGUUAAAGGAAUGGGAGUGGUCCGAUCAGUUGAGCAUGUUGCGACCGGAGACAAUGAUCGUCCCACUCUAGAUGUUAAAAUUGUGGACUGUGGAGAAAUUCCUGAAGGAGAAGAUGAUGGGAUAUCUAACUUUUUCAAAGAUGGAGACACCUAUCCCGACUGGCCAGCAGACCUUGAUGAGAGCCCUAAUGAACUUGAGUGGUGGAUGAAAUCUGUUGACUCGAUUAAAGCUUUUGGCAAUGAUUAUUACAGGAAACAAGAUUACAAAAUGGCUCUAAGGAAGUAUCGGAAGGCUUUACGCUACCUGGAUAUUUGUUGGGAGAAGGAAGGCAUUGAUGAAGAGAUAAGUUCAGGUUUGAGAAAAACGAAGUCUCAGAUUUUUACAAACAGCUCUGCUUCUAAAUUGAAAUUAGGGGAUAUUAAAGGAGCAUUGUUGGAUACAGAAUUUGCAAUGCGUGAGGGAGACAACAAUGCUAAAGCUUUGUUCCGCCAAGGACAGGCAUACAUGGCACUCCAUGACAUUGAUGCUGCAGUUGAAAGCUUUAAGAAGGCACUGACCUUGGAACCAAAUGAUGCUGGAAUAAAAAAGGAACUUGCUGCUGCUAGGAAGAAGAUAGCUGAUAGGCGUGAUCUAGAGAAAAAGGCAUAUAGCAAGAUGUUCCAAUAACACUCUGUCGCUCCUAUGGUCAGUAACCGCCACAAAUUGUGCAGCCAAACCACCAAAAAUCAGGCAUGAGGGACUAAAAAAGGCUUAUGUAAACAACCAGAUUGUUGCAGCAUAUACAUAUGAUAAAAGGUUAAAGGUUUGAACCUAUUGUUACUAAAAGUAUUCGGAGUGGGGCUCACAUGAAAUAAGUGGAUAAGGAUUGGUAUUGUUACAUUAUUACAUAUGAAAUUUUAAGCCAACAAUUUUGUCAACCUUUUCUUUUACAGUGAAACUCUAUGAUCAUUUUAUUGGGCGGUGAUAUUGAAAUGCAAUUAAGAUGAUGGACCAGGCAGUGCUAUAUGUGAUUUUGAUAUAUUGUUAUUUGUUGGGAACUUUUACACUCAAAGUAUAAUGUAGCGAAUUUAUUGGAUAGAA
Molecule: RNA transcript, 1815 nt
Organism: Glycine soja
Lineage: Eukaryota; Viridiplantae; Streptophyta; Magnoliopsida; Fabales; Fabaceae
Gene name: peptidyl-prolyl cis-trans isomerase CYP40-like
Exons: 10
Source: RefSeq, a predicted model, not a curated record